UACGUAGGGUGCAAGCGUUGUCCGGAAUUAUUGGGCGUAAAGAGCUCGUAGGCGGUUUGUCGCGUCUGCCGUGAAAGUCCGGGGCUCAACUCCGGAUCUGCGGUGGGUACGGGCAGACUAGAGUGAUGUAGGGGAGACUGGAAUUCCUGGUGUAGCGGUGAAAUGCGCAGAUAUCAGGAGGAACACCGAUGGCGAAGGCAGGUCUCUGGGCAACAACUGACGCUGAGGAGCGAAAGCGUGGGGAGCGAACAGG
Molecule: ribosomal RNA, 253 nt
Filed under: uncultured bacterium
Lineage: Bacteria
Description: partial 16S ribosomal RNA
Rfam family: Bacterial small subunit ribosomal RNA
Source: RNAcentral